RNAcentral lists this ribosomal RNA (253 nucleotides) under uncultured bacterium. Its description in RNAcentral is "partial 16S ribosomal RNA". It matches the Rfam family "Bacterial small subunit ribosomal RNA", at positions 524 to 776 of the family's 1533-position model. The record is from RNAcentral.
UACGAAGGGGGCAAGCGUUGUUCGGAAUUACUGGGCGUAAAGGGCGCGUAGGCGGAUAUUCAAGUCAGAGGUGAAAGCCCUGGGCUCAACCCGGGAAUUGCCUUUGAAACGGGAUGUCUUGAGUAUGAGAGAGGGUGGCGGAAUACCCAGUGUAGAGGUGAAAUUCGUAGAUAUUGGGUAGAACACCAGUGGCGAAGGCGGUCACCUGGCUCAUAACUGACGCUGAGGCGCGAAAGCGUGGGGAGCAAACAGG